AAAAGUUUAGUUUAUUAUAAAAAUAUUAGAUUGUAAAUCUAAAGAGUUUAUCUUUUG
Molecule: transfer RNA, 57 nt
Filed under: Parascaris equorum
Lineage: Eukaryota; Metazoa; Nematoda; Chromadorea; Rhabditida; Ascarididae
Also listed under: 1 other name
Description: tRNA-Tyr
Source: RNAcentral